This 638-nucleotide ribosomal RNA is filed under the name uncultured bacterium. Its description in RNAcentral is "bacterial SSU rRNA". It matches the Rfam family "Bacterial small subunit ribosomal RNA", at positions 607 to 1244 of the family's 1533-position model. The record is from RNAcentral.
GCUCAACCGGGGAGGGUCAUUGGAAACUGGGAAACUUGAGUGCAGAAGAGGAGAGUGGAAUUCCACGUGUAGCGGUGAAAUGCGUAGAGAUGUGGAGGAACACCAGUGGCGAAGGCGACUCUCUGGUCUGUAACUGACGCUGAGGAGCGAAAGCGUGGGGAGCGAACAGGAUUAGAUACCCUGGUAGUCCACGCCGUAAACGAUGAGUGCUAAGUGUUAGGGGGUUUCCGCCCCUUAGUGCUGCAGCUAACGCAUUAAGCACUCCGCCUGGGGAGUACGGUCGCAAGACUGAAACUCAAAGGAAUUGACGGGGGCCCGCACAAGCGGUGGAGCAUGUGGUUUAAUUCGAAGCAACGCGAAGAACCUUACCAGGUCUUGACAUCCUCUGACAACCCUAGAGAUAGGGCUUUCCCUUCGGGGACAGAGUGACAGGUGGUGCAUGGUUGUCGUCAGCUCGUGUCGUGAGAUGUUGGGUUAAGUCCCGCAACGAGCGCAACCCUUGAUCUUAGUUGCCAGCAUUCAGUUGGGCACUCUAAGGUGACUGCCGGUGACAAACCGGAGGAAGGUGGGGAUGACGUCAAAUCAUCAUGCCCCUUAUGACCUGGGCUACACACGUGCUACAAUGGGGCAGAACAAAG